AUCCAGCUGACGAGUCCCAAGUAGGACGAAACGCACAUUGUCCUGGAU
Molecule: non-coding RNA, 48 nt
Filed under: Schistosoma margrebowiei
Lineage: Eukaryota; Metazoa; Platyhelminthes; Trematoda; Strigeidida; Schistosomatidae
Source: RNAcentral